RNAcentral lists this non-coding RNA (29 nucleotides) under Mus musculus (house mouse). Lineage: Eukaryota; Metazoa; Chordata; Mammalia; Rodentia; Muridae. The record is from RNAcentral.
UACAAGGAUAAAUGUUUACAGACGAGUUG